Molecule: ribosomal RNA, 497 nt
Filed under: uncultured bacterium
Lineage: Bacteria
Description: partial 16S ribosomal RNA
Rfam family: Bacterial small subunit ribosomal RNA
Source: RNAcentral
GAUGAACGCUGGCGGCGUGCCUAAUACAUGCAAGUCGAGCGAACAGACGAGGAGCUUGCUCCUCUGACGUUAGCGGCGGACGGGUGAGUAACACGUGGAUAACCUACCUAUAAGACUGGGAUAACUUCGGGAAACCGGAGCUAAUACCGGAUAAUAUUUUGAACCGCAUGGUUCUAAAGUGAAAGAUGGUUUUGCUGUCACUUAUAGAUGGAUCCGCGCCGCAUUAGCUAGUUGGUAAGGUAACGGCUUACCAAGGCAACGAUACGUAGCCGACCUGAGAGGGUGAUCGGCCACACUGGAACUGAGACACGGUCCAGACUCCUACGGGAGGCAGCAGUAGGGAAUCUUCCGCAAUGGGCGAAAGCCUGACGGAGCAACGCCGCGUGAGUGAUGAAGGGUUUCGGAUCGUAAAACUCUGUUAUUAGGGAAGAACAAAUGUGUAAGUAACUGUGCACGUCUUGACGGUACCUAAUCAGAAAGCCACGGCUAACUACGUG